ACUACGGGGUGCUGCAGUGGGGAAUAUUGGACAAUGGGCGAAAGCCUGAUCCAGCCAUGCCGCGUGUGUGAAGAAGGCCUUCGGGUUGUAAAGCACUUUCAGUGGGGAAGAAAGCCUUGGGGCUAAUACCCUCGAGGAAGGACAUCACCCACAGAAGAAGCACCGGCUAACUCCGUGCCAGCAGCCGCGGUAAUACGGAGGGUGCGAGCGUUAAUCGGAAUUACUGGGCGUAAAGCGCGCGUAGGCGGUCUGAUAAGCCGGUUGUGAAAGCCCCGGGCUCAACCUGGGAACGGCAUCCGGAACUGUCAGGCUAGAGUGCAGGAGAGGAAGGUAGAAUUCCCGGUGUAGCGGUGAAAUGCGUAGAGAUCGGGAGGAAUACCAGUGGCGAAGGCGGCCUUCUGGACUGACACUGACGCUGAGGUGCGAAAGCGUGGGUAGCAAACAGGAUUAGAUACCCUAGUAGUC
Molecule: ribosomal RNA, 465 nt
Filed under: Vreelandella stevensii
Lineage: Bacteria; Pseudomonadati; Pseudomonadota; Gammaproteobacteria; Oceanospirillales; Halomonadaceae
Description: partial 16S ribosomal RNA
Rfam family: Bacterial small subunit ribosomal RNA
Source: RNAcentral